GAUGAUUCUUCAUCUAUGUGGAUUACACCAAGAACACACUCCUCUUGGGUUGUUUUUGACUUAGGUCGACCUUUUACACUUUCUGGUGUUGGCAUAUUUGGUUGGAACAGUGAGCAAAUGCCAAGAAGGUGUUUGUUGCAAAAAGCUGAAAAUUUAGAGGGACCAUGGUUCAAUGUAAGGAUGUUACACUGUUCACAAACAGGUCCGACAGAUCCUACAUCACCAGG
This is a long non-coding RNA of Limulus polyphemus (Atlantic horseshoe crab), 227 nucleotides long. RefSeq lists it as uncharacterized. Lineage: Eukaryota; Metazoa; Arthropoda; Merostomata; Xiphosura; Limulidae. The record is from RefSeq and is a predicted model, not a curated record. The transcript has 3 exons.